UACGGAAGGCAGCAGUAGGGAAUCUUCCGCAAUGGACGAAAGUCUGACGGAGCAACGCCGCGUGAACGAUGAAGGCUUUCGGGUCGUAAAGUUCUGUUGUUAGGGAAGAACAAGUACCGGAGUAACUGCCGGUACCUUGACGGUACCUAACCAGAAAGCCACGGCUAACUACGUGCCAGCAGCCGCGGUAAUACGUAGGUGGCAAGCGUUGUCCGGAAUUAUUGGGCGUAAAGCGCGCGCAGGCGGUCCUUUUAAGUCUGAUGUGAAAGCCCCACGGCUCAACCGUGGAGGGUCAUUGGAAACUGGGGGACUUGAGUGCAGAAGAGGAGAGUGGAAUUCCACGUGUAGCGGUGAAAUGCGUAGAGAUGUGGAGGAACACCAGUGGCGAAGGCGACUCUCUGGUCUGUAACUGACGCUGAGGCGCGAAAGCGUGGGGAGCGAACAGGGAUUGAUAC
This 455-nucleotide ribosomal RNA is filed under the name uncultured bacterium. Its description in RNAcentral is "bacterial SSU rRNA". It matches the Rfam family "Bacterial small subunit ribosomal RNA", at positions 340 to 785 of the family's 1533-position model. The record is from RNAcentral.